Molecule: long non-coding RNA, 970 nt
Filed under: Gossypium barbadense (sea-island cotton)
Lineage: Eukaryota; Viridiplantae; Streptophyta; Magnoliopsida; Malvales; Malvaceae
Description: long non-coding RNA (GBAR_LNC011791)
Source: RNAcentral
CCCAUUUAAAAAAAACAAAAUAGAGAGCUUCUUUGCUCUCUCUCCAUCCCAUUUUCUCCCUUGUGGCUAGGGUUUUGAAACCCAUCAUCGCCGCCGUUGUCACGGCACCACCACAGGCGGUGGUUGGGCGGUGCGAGCCGGGCUUUCUAGCCCCUGUUUAAGGCGUCCCCGAAAGCCAAGCCUUCAGCCCAAAAAGCGCGAAGGUGAAGGGUCUCUCCCCUCCCUAAACGAUGUGAUCUCGACGACGGAGGAGAGACCUCCAACGACAAAGGCGACUCCGGUGAGGGCCUCUUCUCCUCCCUUUUAUUUAUUUUAUGCCCACUUUUUAAAAAUGUUUUUGUAUUAAAAAUAUAAAUAAAAAGAAACAAAAAACGAGUAGGAAACAAAAUAAAAGAAUAUCGAGAUCAACCUUAAACUUUUGUUCUGUUCUUUUGAUUCAAAUGUGUGUGUAAAAAAAAUUACAAAGAAAGUGAUUCGGCUUUUAUAGCCAAGUUAAGCAACUCCCUGUUUCUAUUCUUUUUUGUUUUUUUGCUAUUUAUUUCUUCUGCAUGCUCUCUGUUGUUGUAUUUGAUUUGGUUGCAGGUGUCAGAGGCGUGGAAGGCCGGUGGUUGGCUCGCGAGGAGGCAAGGUGGCGCGCGUGGUGACCAAGGCUGAGGGGGGAGUGGCGGCUGAAAACUUUGGUGGCUAGGUUUUUUUGUUUGCUGAAAAUGUUUAAGAUAGUGGGCUAGGAUUUGGGCUAGGGUUUUAAUUGUUUGGGUCAUACAUAUGUUGUAAAUAGACUUAAAAUUUGGGCUUUUUAUUUGAUUAUUUGGAUUUUACUUUUUGUUUAUUUGCCUGGGCCAAAAUUGGCACACACGUCGGAAUUGUGGUCCCAAAAUCACUAUGUUUGACACUACUAAAAAAUGGGUUGUUACACUAGUCAUGUUUCAUAAAUUAACAUAUCAGAGUACCCUCAGCGUGUUUGCAUCUC